Oncorhynchus tshawytscha (Chinook salmon) is the source of this 436-nucleotide long non-coding RNA. Lineage: Eukaryota; Metazoa; Chordata; Actinopteri; Salmoniformes; Salmonidae. The record is from Ensembl.
GGAAGGUUGAUGUUGUGCUAUAGUCCUGGAGGAGAGGUGGAAGGUUGAUGUUGUCCUGGAGGAAAGGAAGAAGGUUGAUGGUGUACUGGAGGAGAGGAGGAAGGUUGAUGUUGUCCUGGAGGAAAGGAAGAAGGUUGAUGGUGUACUGGAGGAUAGGAGGAAGGUUGAUGUUGUACUAUAGUCCUGGAGGAGAGGAGGAAGGUUGAUGUUGUCCUGGAGGAGAGGAGGAAGGUUGAUGUUGUCCUGGAGGAGCGGAGGAAGUUUGAUGUUGUCCUGGAGGAGAGGGGAAAGUUGAUGUUGUCCUGGAGGACAGGAGGAGAGGUGGAAGGUUGAUGUUGUCCUGGGGGAGAGGUGGAAGGUUGAUGUUGUCCUGGAGGAGAGGUGGAAGGUUGAUGUUGUACUGGAGUAGAGGAGGAAGGUUGAUGUUGUACUGGAG